RNAcentral lists this ribosomal RNA (119 nucleotides) under Lysinibacillus sp. S2017. Lineage: Bacteria; Bacillati; Bacillota; Bacilli; Caryophanales; Bacillaceae. The record is from RNAcentral.
GGAUGCGACCAUACCAGCACUAACGCACCGGAUCCCAUCAGAACUCCGAAGUUAAGCGUGCUUGGGCGAGAGUAGUACUAGGAUGGGUGACCCCCUGGGAAGUCCUCGUGUUGCACCCC